GACGAACGCUGGCGGCGUGGAUUAGGCAUGCAAGUCGAACGGUAUCAUCCUUUCGGGGACGAGAGAGUGGCGAACGGGUGAGUAACACGUAGGUGAUCUACCCUCAAGACGGGGACAACCCAGGGAAACUUGGGCUAAUACCGGAUGUGAGCUAUCGUGAGAUAGUUUGAAAGGUGGCUUCGGCUGCCGCUUGAGGAUGAGCCUGCGUCCUAUUAGCUAGUUGGUGAGGUAACGGCUCACCGAGGCAGUGAUAGGUAGGCGGCCUUAACGGGUGGUCGCCCACACUGGGAUUGAGAUACGGCCCAGACUCCUACGGGAGGCAGCAGUCGAGAAUAGUCUACAAUGGUCGAAAGACUGAUAGUGCGACGCCGCGUGAACGAAGAAGCCCUUCGGGUGUAAAGUUCUUUUAUAUGUGAGCAGUGACAUCUAUAUUAAUAGUAUGGGUGUAGAGAUAUUAGCAUAUGAAUAAGCAACGGCUAACUCCGUGCC
This 489-nucleotide ribosomal RNA is filed under the name uncultured bacterium. Its description in RNAcentral is "bacterial SSU rRNA". It matches the Rfam family "Bacterial small subunit ribosomal RNA", at positions 28 to 509 of the family's 1533-position model. The record is from RNAcentral.